AGUGAACGCUGGCGGUAGGCCUAACACAUGCAAGUCGAACGGCAGCACAGUAAGAGCUUGCUCUUACGGGUGGCGAGUGGCGGACGGGUGAGGAAUACAUCGGAAUCUACUUUUUCGUGGGGGAUAACGUAGGGAAACUUACGCUAAUACCGCAUACGACCUACGGGUGAAAGCAGGGGAUCUUCGGACCUUGCGCGAUUGAAUGAGCCGAUGUCGGAUUAGCUAGUUGGCGGGGUAAAGGCCCACCAAGGCGACGAGCCGUAGCUGGUCUGAGAGGAUGAUCAGCCACACUGGAACUGAGACACGGACCAGACUCCUACGAGAGGCAGCAGUGGGGAAUAGUGGACAAUGGGCGCAAGCCUGAUCCAGCCAUACCGCGUGGGUGAAGAAGGCCUUCGGGUUGUAAAGCCCUUUUGUUGGGAAAGAAAAGCAGCAGGUUAAUACCCCGCUGUUCUGACGGUACCCAAAGAAUAAGCACCGGCUAACUUCGUG
This 492-nucleotide ribosomal RNA is filed under the name uncultured bacterium. Its description in RNAcentral is "partial 16S ribosomal RNA". It matches the Rfam family "Bacterial small subunit ribosomal RNA", at positions 29 to 507 of the family's 1533-position model. The record is from RNAcentral.